CCCCGUAGGCGCUACCAUGCAGUCGAGCGGAUGACGGGAGCUUGCUCCUUGAUUCAUCGGCGGACGGGCGCAUUAAUGCCUAGGAAUCUGCCUGGUAGUGGGGGACAACGUUUCGAAAGGAACGCUAAUACCGCAUACGUCCUACGGGAGAAAGUGGGGGAUCUUCGGACCUCACGCUAUCAGAUGAGCCUAGGUCGGAUUAGCUAGUUGGUGAGGUAAUGGCUCACCAAGGCGACGAUCCGUAACUGGUCUGAGAGGAUGAUCAGUCACACUGGAACUGAGACACGGUCCAGACUCCUACGGGAGGCAGCAGUGGGGAAUAUUGGACAAUGGGCGAAAGCCUGAUCCAGCCAUGCCGCGUGUGUGAAGAAGGUCUUCGGAUUGUAAAGCACUUUAAGUUGGGAGGAAGGGCAGUAAGCUAAUACCUUGCUGUUUUGACGUUACCGACAGAAUAAGCACCGGCUAACUCUGUGCCAGCAGCCGCGGUAAUACAGAGGGUGCAAGCGUUAAUCGGAAUUACUGGGCGUAAAGCGCGCGUAGGUGGUUCGUUAAGUUGGAUGUGAAAGCCCCGGGCUCUACCUGGUAACUGCAUCCCAAUUUGGCGAGCUAGAUUACGGGCGUAGGUUGGGGGACUUAUCUGAUAGGCGACGAACUGCGAAUUUAACAUAUGUACACCAUUCACUUCAGGGCCUCCUGCCUUGUUAUCUGACCUGAUUUUGCCAUCCAUUAGUGUAUUCGUUCACUUGAU
RNAcentral lists this ribosomal RNA (748 nucleotides) under Pseudomonas plecoglossicida. RNAcentral describes it as "bacterial SSU rRNA". It matches the Rfam family "Bacterial small subunit ribosomal RNA", at positions 38 to 723 of the family's 1533-position model. The record is from RNAcentral. Lineage: Bacteria; Pseudomonadati; Pseudomonadota; Gammaproteobacteria; Pseudomonadales; Pseudomonadaceae.